Molecule: ribosomal RNA, 631 nt
Filed under: Oceanobacillus profundus
Lineage: Bacteria; Bacillati; Bacillota; Bacilli; Caryophanales; Bacillaceae
Description: bacterial SSU rRNA
Rfam family: Bacterial small subunit ribosomal RNA
Source: RNAcentral
UGACGGGGGCCCGCACAAGCGGUGGAGCAUGUGGUUUAAUUCGAUGCAACGCGAAGAACCUUACCUACUCUUGACAUCCAGAGAACUUUCCAGAGAUGGAUUGGUGCCUUCGGGAACUCUGAGACAGGUGCUGCAUGGCUGUCGUCAGCUCGUGUUGUGAAAUGUUGGGUUAAGUCCCGCAACGAGCGCAACCCUUAUCCUUUGUUGCCAGCGGUUCGGCCGGGAACUCAAAGGAGACUGCCAGUGAUAAACUGGAGGAAGGUGGGGAUGACGUCAAGUCAUCAUGGCCCUUACGAGUAGGGCUACACACGUGCUACAAUGGCGCAUACAAAGAGAAGCGACCUCGCGAGAGCAAGCGGACCUCAUAAAGUGCGUCGUAGUCCGGAUUGGAGUCUGCAACUCGACUCCAUGAAGUCGGAAUCGCUAGUAAUCGUAGAUCAGAAUGCUACGGUGAAUACGUUCCCGGGCCUUGUACACACCGCCCGUCACACCAUGGGAGUGGGUUGCAAAAGAAGUAGGUAGCUUAACCUUCGGGAGGGCGCUUACCACUUUGUGAUUCAUGACUGGGGUGAAGUCGUAACAAGGUAACCGUAGGGGAACCUGCGGUUGGAUCACCUCCUUACCUAAUAGA